This 497-nucleotide ribosomal RNA is filed under the name uncultured bacterium. RNAcentral describes it as "partial 16S ribosomal RNA". It matches the Rfam family "Bacterial small subunit ribosomal RNA", at positions 28 to 507 of the family's 1533-position model. The record is from RNAcentral.
GACGAACGCUGGCGGCGUGCCUAAUACAUGCAAGUCGAACGAACAGUCGAGGAGCUUGCUCUUCUGGGGUGAGAAGCGGACGGGUGAGUAACUCGUGGUUAACCUACCUCUACGACAGGGAUAACUACAGGAAACAAUAGCUAAUGACGGAUAAUAUAUUGAACCUGAUGGUUCCAUCGUGAAAGAGGCUAUUGCUGAGCUUAAAAGAUGACUACGCGCUGCAUUAGUAAUUGGGUAGGGAAACGGCUUACCAAGGCAACGAUGCGAACACGACCUGAGCGGGUGGUCGGCCACACUGGAACUGAGACACGGCCAAGCGGCCUAGGGGAGGCAGCAGAAGGGAAUCUUGGGCAAUGGGGGAAAGCCUGACGGAGAACGGCCGCGUGGGUGAUAAAGGUCUUCGGAUGGUAAACCUCUGUGAUUGGGGAAAAACACAUGUGGAAGUAAAUAUGCACGUCUUGACGGUACCUUACCAGAAAGCCACGGCUAACUACGUG